UGUCUCUGCUGAUACUGACACAGGACUUAGGGUGUGUCAGAAGAGCUUAUCUAUGGGGAACACAGGUCCUGUGUCAUGACAUUUUUAAGUGACACCUUUUUGUUAAUUAUUACCUUUUUUUUUUUGACUGUACAGUGCCUUUUUUUUAUUCCUGCAUGUGGCUUCUGUGAGUUCUGGGGUAAAGGGCAGCUUGGAACCUUUCUCAUCAAGGGUAUGUGGAACUGUUUUAAAACCAUUCCGAAGGAACAAAAAUGGGAAAUCCAAAACCAAGGCAGAAAGAAGCCCAGAAGGAGCAGCCUGACGGUUAGGGCCCAGAAGUUAGAACCGCAGACCCGGGAGUGGACGGCCAGGCCACUCGGCUUCCUCAGUUACAGAGGGAGGAGGAAACACAUCUCUGGCUUAGGGCCACCGUGAAAACUUUUAGAAAGUCCACCAACACAGCCACACAGAAUGGCUGCUGUGAACAAGCAGCUGUCAAAGGAUUGACUCGAUGGUGUAAAAUGCUAUUAGGAGAAAGAAUGGCCAAGUCUGAAUGAGAGCAUGUAUUUCAUCGUGAAGAUAAAAGUCUUUCUUCUCUCUAGUGAAUACAGUGCUAAUGCUGCCCACUAUCUGCCACCCUGAACUUAGAAACAGCAACAGACUGCACCGUGAGAGUUGCAUCCAUUAGUCUGCAUAUCACCCAAUAAGAUGCUGUAUAAGCAACAUCCCUGAACUUGCACCGGGAUCCAUUGGCAACAGAGGCAGACAAGUCACAUGUUCUGAAGGAGUGGUGGACAGUGAGGAGCCAAGGUCUUAUGCACACAAUUACAAACGAACAACAGUGCAGAGUGGCUAAUGAAGCCAGGAAGACUGUGGCAAGCAAGCAGAGGCGUGUGACUCACGACUCCCCAAGGUGACAGAACCUGGGGUUCAACAUAUGACAUAUGAGAAGACAGGACAUCCUGAAGACAUACAAGAGAUGAUAAAUUUCUUAGAGUAAGAGUAAGAGCCAAGGUCUCCUAAGCACAGGUAGGUCUGAAGCAGUUAUACCUCAGGUGGGUCUGGCUGCAUGUAGUAUGGUAAGAGAUGCUCCACAGAGUCUGUGAGAAAAGUCACUCAAAAUACUUUCACAAGGAUCAAUGUGUGUGCACGUAAGAUUAAGUGCUCCAGAUCCAAAGGGCUUGAGACCAGAGAUGUUUUAGAAUGAGACUUUUGUAUCUUCUAAUAUUUGCAUAAACUUACUAAAUGGGUAACUGUAAUCUGAAAAUCAAAAGUCUGAAACCUUAGGAAUGCCAUACCUGUGCUCAAGGCAUCUUGGAUUUCAGGAUACAUUGGAGUGUGUGUGGCGGGGGUGCAUGUGGAGGCCACGGGACAACUUUAGGUAUCAUUGCUUAGGAGUUGCCUAACUUAUAUUCUGAGAGGAUCUCUCACUGGCCUACUGUUCACCAAGCAGGUGGUGCUGGCUAGCGAGCCUCGGGGACCUGCCUGCCUCUGCCUGCCCAGUGUGGGGUCACACGUGCCUGCCACUGGUCCUGACUAUCAUGUAGGUUCUGGUGACUCAACUCCUAGCUCUUGUGCAGCAAGAAUUUUACUACUAAGCCAUUCCCUCGGCCUAUAUUUUGGGAUUUUAGAUAUGCUCAACUGUGUCUUUCUCCUUAGAGACUGUGGUUUGUGGUAAAAUUCCAAAGUACAAAACCCCAGGUAGAUUGAGACUUACUAAAAAGCCCACCACCACCUGAAAAAGGUCUAAUGGGGAGGCACAACAGUUAUUUAAUUAGCACACACUGAUUAACUUAACCCUGUGCAACCACUGUCUUCUGUUACUGCUAAUUCUGUUUUUGAAGUCAAAUGAAAUAAAGUAGCUGAAGAGUAAUUAAUGUGUCCAGUCCCUUUACCCCGUGGCUAUGAUGACUUGGUUGCCCUUUGCUGCAGAGGUUUCCUGAGAAGAUGCUGGAACAGCUUUGAAACAACUCAAAGGCGUGUUCUCAGGAGGUGGUGACUUCGCAUUAAAAACCUUAACCUGAACAGGCCUCUGAGCAGCACAUCCUCUAAUGAUGAUGUGAGACAUGAGAUUAAUUUGAAAGCUUUGCAAUGACUGGAUAGGUAAGUGUAGGUGUUCUGUUAAGCAUUU
Long non-coding RNA from Apodemus sylvaticus (European woodmouse), 2110 nucleotides. RefSeq lists it as uncharacterized. NCBI's taxonomy places the organism in Eukaryota, Metazoa, Chordata, Mammalia, Rodentia, Muridae. The transcript is spliced from 5 exons. The record is from RefSeq and is a predicted model, not a curated record.